CAGAUUCACUUCGAUUCCUCCAACAAUGAGGCAGAAUAUGAGGCCCUCUUAUAUGGGUUGCGCAUGGCCAUUUCACUCGGCGUCCGUCGCCUGAUGGUCUAUGGCGACUCGGAUUUAGUGGUCAACCAAGUGAUGAAGGAGUGGGACGUGAGAAGCCCAGCCAUGACUGGAUACUGCAGUGCAGUGAGGAAGCUGGAAAAGAAGUUCGAGGGGUUGGAGCUCCAUCAUAUACCCCGACUGAAAAAUCAAGUAGCUGAUGAUCUAGCAAAGAUAGGUUCCAAGAGAGAAGCCAUUCCGAGUGGUGUGUUCUUGGAGCAUAUACACACU
Molecule: ribosomal RNA, 327 nt
Filed under: Triticum aestivum (bread wheat)
Lineage: Eukaryota; Viridiplantae; Streptophyta; Magnoliopsida; Poales; Poaceae
Description: partial small subunit ribosomal RNA
Source: RNAcentral